GACGAACGCUGGCGGCGUGCUUAACACAUGCAAGUCGAACGAUGAACCCGGAGCUUGCUCCGGUGGAUUAGUGGCGAACGGGUGAGUAACACGUGAGUAACCUGCCCUUGACUCUGGGAUAACUGCGGGAAACUGUAGCUAAUACCGGAUACGACCCUCGGCGGCAUCGCCAGGGGGUGGAAAGAAUUUCGGUCAAGGAUGGACUCGCGGCCUAUCAGCUAGUUGGUGAGGUAACGGCUCACCAAGGCUACGACGGGUAGCCGGCCGGAGAGGGAGAGCGGCGCGAAUGGGACUGAGACACGGCCCAGACUCCUACGGGAGGGAGCAGUGGGGAAUAUUGCACAAUGGGCGCAAGCCUGAUGCAGCAACGCCGCGUGAGGGAUGACGGCCUUCGGGUUGUAAACCUCUUUUGGUAGGGAAGAAGCGAAAGUGACGGUACCUGCAGAAAAAGCACCGGCUAACUACGUGCCAGCAGCCGCGGUAA
This 484-nucleotide ribosomal RNA is filed under the name uncultured bacterium. RNAcentral describes it as "partial 16S ribosomal RNA". It matches the Rfam family "Bacterial small subunit ribosomal RNA", at positions 28 to 523 of the family's 1533-position model. The record is from RNAcentral.